CGAGGGGAGUGAAAAAGAACCUGAAACCGUGUACGUACAAGCAGUGGGAGCACGCUUAGGCGUGUGACUGCGUACCUUUUGUAUAAUGGGUCAGCGACUUAUAUUCUGUAGCAAGGUUAACCGAAUAGGGGAGCCGAAGGGAAACCGAGUCUUAACUGGGCGUUAAGUUGCAGGGUAUAGACCCGAAACCCGGUGAUCUAGCCAUGGGCAGGUUGAAGGUUGGGUAACACUAACUGGAGGACCGAACCGACUAAUGUUGAAAAAUUAGCGGAUGACUUGUGGCUGGGGGUGAAAGGCCAAUCAAACCGGGAGAUAGCUGGUUCUCCCCGAAAGCUAUUUAGGUAGCGCCUCGUGAAUUCAUCUCCGGGGGUAGAGCACUGUUUCGGCAAGGGGGUCAUCCCGACUUACCAACCCGAUGCAAACUGCGAAUACCGGAGAAUGUUAUCACGGGAGACACACGGCGGGUGCUAACGUCCGUCGUGAAGAGGGAAACAACCCAGACCGCCAGCUAAGGUCCCAAAGUCAUGGUUAAGUGGGAAACGAUGUGGGAAGGCCCAGACAGCCAGGAUGUUGGCUUAGAAGCAGCCAUCAUUUAAAGAAAGCGUAAUAGCUCACUGGUCGAGUCGGCCUGCGCGGAAGAUGUAACGGGGCUAAACCAUGCACCGAAGCUGCGGCAGCGACGCUGAUGCGUUGUUGGGUAGGGGAGCGUUCUGUAAGCCUGCGAAGGUGUGCUGUGAGGCAUGCUGGAGGUAUCAGAAGUGCGAAUGCUGACAUAAGUAACGAUAAAGCGGGUGAAAAGCCCGCUCGCCGGAAGACCAAGGGUUCCUGUCCAACGUUAAUCGGGGCAGGGUGAGUCGACCCCUAAGGCGAGGCCGAAAGGCGUAGUCGAUGGGAAACAGGUUAAUAUUCCUGUACUUGGUGUUACUGCGAAGGGGGGACGGAGAAGGCUAUGUUGGCCGGGCGACGGUUGUCCCGGUUUAAGCGUGUAGGCUGGUUUUCCAGGCAAAUCCGGAAAAUCAAGGCUGAGGCGUGAUGACGAGGCACUGCGGUGCUGAAGCAACAAAUGCCCUGCUUCCAGGAAAAGCCUCUAAGCAUCAGGUAACAUCAAAUCGUACCCCAAACCGACACAGGUGGUCAGGUAGAGAAUACCAAGGCGCUUGAGAGAACUCGGGUGAAGGAACUAGGCAAAAUGGUGCCGUAACUUCGGGAGAAGGCACGCUGAUAUGUAGGUGAAGUCCCUCGCGGAUGGAGCUGAAAUCAGUCGAAGAUACCAGCUGGCUGCAACUGUUUAUUAAAAACACAGCACUGUGCAAACACGAAAGUGGACGUAUACGGUGUGACGCCUGCCCGGUGCCGGAAGGUUAAUUGAUGGGGUUAGCGCAAGCGAAGCUCUUGAUCGAAGCCCCGGUAAACGGCGGCCGUAACUAUAACGGUCCUAAGGUAGCGAAAUUCCUUGUCGGGUAAGUUCCGACCUGCACGAAUGGCGUAAUGAUGGCCAGGCUGUCUCCACCCGAGACUCAGUGAAAUUGAACUCGCUGUGAAGAUGCAGUGUACCCGCGGCAAGACGGAAAGACCCCGUGAACCUUUACUAUAGCUUGACACUGAACAUUGAGCCUUGAUGUGUAGGAUAGGUGGGAGGCUUUGAAGUGUGGACGCCAGUCUGCAUGGAGCCGACCUUGAAAUACCACCCUUUAAUGUUUGAUGUUCUAACGUUGACCCGUAAUCCGGGUUGCGGACAGUGUCUGGUGGGUAGUUUGACUGGGGCGGUCUCCUCCUAAAGAGUAACGGAGGAGCACGAAGGUUGGCUAAUCCUGGUCGGACAUCAGGAGGUUAGUGCAAUGGCAUAAGCCAGCUUGACUGCGAGCGUGACGGCGCGAGCAGGUGCGAAAGCAGGUCAUAGUGAUCCGGUGGUUCUG
RNAcentral lists this ribosomal RNA (1916 nucleotides) under Escherichia coli. Its description in RNAcentral is "partial 23S ribosomal RNA". It matches the Rfam family "Bacterial large subunit ribosomal RNA", at positions 530 to 2431 of the family's 2925-position model. Lineage: Bacteria; Pseudomonadati; Pseudomonadota; Gammaproteobacteria; Enterobacterales; Enterobacteriaceae. The record is from RNAcentral.